This 253-nucleotide ribosomal RNA is filed under the name uncultured bacterium. Its description in RNAcentral is "partial 16S ribosomal RNA". It matches the Rfam family "Bacterial small subunit ribosomal RNA", at positions 524 to 776 of the family's 1533-position model. The record is from RNAcentral.
UACGUAGGGUCCAAGCGUUGUCCGGAUUUACUGGGUUUAAAGGGUGCGCAGGCGGGCUUGCAAGUCGGUGAUGAAAUGUCAGGGCUCAACCUUGGCGCUGUUGCCGAAACUGCAAGUCUUGAGCGUGGUUGAGGUAUCUGGAACGAGUGGUGUAGCGGUGAAAUGCGUAGAGAUCACUCAGAACACCAAUUGCGAAGGCAGGAUACUGGGCCAUAGCUGACGCUCAGGCACGAAAGCGUGGGGAUCAAACAGG